GGGGAGGUGGCUCAGUGGUUAAGAGCACUGGCUGCUCUUCCAGAGUACCUGAGUUCAAUUCCCAGCACCCACA
Mesocricetus auratus (golden hamster) is the source of this 73-nucleotide non-coding RNA. Lineage: Eukaryota; Metazoa; Chordata; Mammalia; Rodentia; Cricetidae. The record is from Rfam.